Molecule: long non-coding RNA, 357 nt
Organism: Homo sapiens (human)
Lineage: Eukaryota; Metazoa; Chordata; Mammalia; Primates; Hominidae
Exons: 3
Source: RefSeq, a predicted model, not a curated record
ACAGUGAGCUCAAGAAACCACCAAACACAGAGCAAAAACAAGGAUUUGAGGCACAGUUCCACACUUUCUAGCUAUGAGAGCUUGGCCAAGCUACUUAAUUCUCCAGCCUUAUAUUUUCUCGGCUAAAAAUAUAUGGGGCAAGUCUUGUGAAGAUGCAAUGAGAUAAUGGAUGGGAAAGCCCUUUGUGAAGUGUAAAGCAACACACAAAUGCAGAAAUAACAACUAACAGAAGGCUCCCAACUGGAGGAUCAUGUGGAAAAAUGGAAGAACUGAGACUAUCUUCUGGCCAUGAACAGAAGGAGAAAAGAUUGUGGAUAUACUCCAAUCAACAAUAAAGCGAACAACAUAUAUUAGUGC